GGCCGCAGAGUUUGAUCAUGGCUCAGAGCGAACGUUAGCGGCGGGCCUAACACAUGCAAGUCGAACGAGAAUGAGGGCUACGGCUCUCUAGUAAAGUGGCGGACGGGUGCGUAACACGUAGGUAAUCUACCUUCCGGCGGGGGACAACAGUCCGAAAGGAUUGCUAAUACCGCGUACGUCGGCGGAGUCUUCGGAUUCCGUCGGGAAAGAUGGCCUCUCCAUGGAAGCUGUCACCGGAAGAUGAACCUGCGGCCCAUCAGCUUGUUGGUGAGGUAACGGCCCACCAAGGCGAAGGCGGGUAGCUGGUCUGAGAGGAUGAUCAGCCACACUGGGACUGCGACACGGCCCAGACUCCUACGGGGGGCAGCAGUGGGGAAUAUUGGGCAAUGGGCGAAAGCCUGACCCAGCCACGCCGCGUGAGUGAUGAAGGCCUUCGGGUCGUAAAGCUCUGUGGGGAGGGACGAACAAGUCUGGUGUUAACACCACCGGGCCCUGACGGUACCUCCUUAGCAAGCACCG
This 519-nucleotide ribosomal RNA is filed under the name uncultured Alphaproteobacteria bacterium. Its description in RNAcentral is "bacterial SSU rRNA". It matches the Rfam family "Bacterial small subunit ribosomal RNA", at positions 1 to 495 of the family's 1533-position model. Lineage: Bacteria; Pseudomonadati; Pseudomonadota; Alphaproteobacteria. The record is from RNAcentral.